Long non-coding RNA from Haliotis rubra (blacklip abalone), 283 nucleotides. RefSeq lists it as uncharacterized. Lineage: Eukaryota; Metazoa; Mollusca; Gastropoda; Lepetellida; Haliotidae. The record is from RefSeq and is a predicted model, not a curated record. The transcript is spliced from 3 exons.
ACAUCAUCAACUACGAACCUCUGGUACCACGACCACCACCUCCACCAACAACAACAUCAUCGUUCUAAGCGAUAACGCAGCCAGAUGUCAAUCUAUUUUUCAGCUUUUGAAGGGAUUUCAACAUAACCCUGCGACGACAACGAAGCUCUUCAGUCAGCACAUACAAAUUGAAACAACGAUCGGUCAAGUGCCUUACGAUAUCAGCCGAGCGUAUAACGGAAAUCUCCUGAGAAGAUUAUGUUGAUAUGGUUCCAGGCCAACCGUUAAUGGAAUCUCAUUACAA